RNAcentral lists this ribosomal RNA (260 nucleotides) under uncultured bacterium. Its description in RNAcentral is "partial 16S ribosomal RNA". It matches the Rfam family "Bacterial small subunit ribosomal RNA", at positions 83 to 339 of the family's 1533-position model. The record is from RNAcentral.
UUAGAAUACGGAGCGGCAAACGGGUGAGUAACACAUUAGUAAUCUACCUCUGAGACGGGAAUAGCCCAUUGAAAAAUGGAUUAAUGCCCGAUAGUCAUGGAGAGUCAUAUGACAUUUCCAUGUAAAACCCUUCGGGGGCUUAGAGAGGAGCUUAUGUCUGAUUAGCUUGUUGGUGGGGUAAAAGCCUACCAAGGCUCUGAUCAGUAGCAGGCGUGAGAGCGUGACCUGCCUCACUGGGACUGAGACACUGCCCAGACUCC